GCUUGCCCCGGGGCAGAGCCGCGAACGGGUGAGUAACACGUGGGUUACCUGCCCCAAUGACCGGGACAACCCGAGGAAACUCGGGCUAAUACCGGAUGUGGUCUCCGGACGAAAGGAAGCUUCGGCCUCCGCAUUGGGAUGGGCCCGCGGCGCAUUAGCUUGUUGGUGGGGUAACGGCCUACCAAGGCGACGAUGCGUAGCUGGUCUGAGAGGACGAUCAGCCACACUGGGACUGAGACACGGCCCAGACUCCUACGGGAGGCAGCAGUGGGGAAUCUUGCGCAAUGCGCGAAAGCGUGACGCAGCAACGCCGCGUGGGGGAAGAAGGCCUUCGGGUUGUAAACCUCUUUCAGUUGGGACGAAGCUUCGCGGGUUAAUAGCCUGCCGGAGUGACGGUACCUUCAGAAGAAGCCCCGGCUAACUACGUGCCAGCAGCCGCGGUAAUACGUAGGGGGCAAGCGUUGUCCGGAAUCAUUGGGCGUAAAGAGCGUGUAGGCGGCCCGAUAAGUCCGCUGUGAAAGUCCAGGGCUCAACCCUGGAAUGCCGGUGGAUACUGUCGGGCUCGAAUCCGGAAGAGGUGAGUGGAAUUCCUGGUGUAGCGGUGAAAUGCGCAGAUAUCAGGAGGAACACCAGUGGCGAAGG
RNAcentral lists this ribosomal RNA (642 nucleotides) under uncultured Actinomycetes bacterium. Its description in RNAcentral is "bacterial SSU rRNA". It matches the Rfam family "Bacterial small subunit ribosomal RNA", at positions 78 to 721 of the family's 1533-position model. The record is from RNAcentral. Lineage: Bacteria; Bacillati; Actinomycetota; Actinomycetes.